AGUAUCCAAUACCCUGGUAGUAGUAUCACAAACAGAGAAACUAUAAGGUAUUAUCAUAUAAGUACCUUGUGAAGCAACUGUUUACUUUUUUCUCUUAUUUUUAUGCCUGUUUGGGUCAAGAGUGGCUAUAUAAGCAGGAUAAUUUUUUUUUCAAUAACCCAGCUUCUUGCAGAAGAAGCACUCUGUCUAGCUCUUGUCAACUUUUGAUGGUUUACUCUGCUUAAGAUCGAUGGCACAGGAUUUUUGAAUCUUUUUAUUCUUUCCUCUUUUAGAGGAUCGAUGCCCUGC
Molecule: long non-coding RNA, 288 nt
Filed under: Elaeis guineensis (African oil palm)
Lineage: Eukaryota; Viridiplantae; Streptophyta; Magnoliopsida; Arecales; Arecaceae
Description: long non-coding RNA (EGUI_LNC036998)
Source: RNAcentral